CUCCGGUUGAUCCCGCCGGACCCGACUGCUAUCGGAUUGAGAUUUAGCCAUGCGAGUCGAACGUUCCCCUGUUGCGGGGAGCGUGGCGUACGGCUCAGUAACACGUAGUCAACCUGCCCUGGAGACAAGGACAACCCCGGGAAACUGGGAUUAAUCCUUGAUAGGUCAUCUCAUCUGGAAGGAGAGAUGGCUUAAAGGGGUACGAGGGCUUCUUCCACGUAUUCGCUCCAGGAUGGGACUGCGACCGAUCAGGCUGUUGGCGGGGUAAUGGCCCACCAAACCUGUAACCGGUACGGGCCUUGAGAGAGGUGGCCCGGAGAUGGACACUGAGAGAAGGGUCCAGGUCCUAUGGGGCGCAGCAGGCGAGAAACCUUCGCAAUGUGCGAAAGCACGACUGGGUCAGUCCGAGUGAUUCCUGAUAAAGGAGUCUUUUGCUUGUCCUAAAAGCACAGGUGAAUAAGGGGUGGGCAAGUCUGGUGUCAGCCGCCGCGGUAAUACCAGCACCUCGAGUGGUCAGGACGUUUAUUGGGCCUAAAGCAUCCGUAGCCGGCUUUGCAAGUCUUCGGUUAAAUCCACCUGCUCAACAGAUGGGCCGCUGGAGAUACUACAAAGCUAGGGAGUGGGAGAGGCAGACGGUAUUCAGUGGGUAGGGGUAAAAUCCUCUGAUCCAUUGAGGACCACCAGUGGCGAAGGCGGUCUGCCAGAACACGUUCGACGGUGAGGGAUGAAAGCUGGGGGAGCAAACCGGAUUAGAUACCCGGGUAGUCCCAGCUGUAAACGAUGCAAACUCGGUGAUGCAUUGGCUUAUGGCCAAUGCAGUGCCGCAGGGAAGCCGUUAAGUUUGCCGCCUGGGAAGUACGGACGCAAGUCUGAAACUUAAAGAAUUGGCGGGGGAGCA
Molecule: ribosomal RNA, 898 nt
Filed under: uncultured archaeon
Lineage: Archaea
Description: bacterial SSU rRNA
Rfam family: Archaeal small subunit ribosomal RNA
Source: RNAcentral